RNAcentral lists this ribosomal RNA (492 nucleotides) under uncultured bacterium. RNAcentral's name for it is "partial 16S ribosomal RNA". It matches the Rfam family "Bacterial small subunit ribosomal RNA", at positions 29 to 507 of the family's 1533-position model. The record is from RNAcentral.
AGUGAACGCUGGCGGUAGGCCUAACACAUGCAAGUCGAACGGCAGCACAGUAAGAGCUUGCUCUUACGGGUGGCGAGUGGCGGACGGGUGAGGAAUACAUCGGAAUCUACUUUUUCGUGGGGGAUAACGUAGGGAAACUUACGCUAAUACCGCAUACGACCUACGGGCGAAAGCAGGGGAUCUUCGGACCUUGCGCGAUUGAAUGAGCCGAUGUCGGAUUAGCUAGUUGGCGGGGUAAAGGCCCACCAAGGCGACGAUCCGUAGCUGGUCUGAGAGGAUGAUCAGCCACACUGGAACUGAGACACGGUCCAGACUCCUACGGGAGGCAGCAGUGGGGAAUAUUGGACAAUGGGCGCAAGCCUGAUCCAGCCAUACCGCGUAGGUGAAGAAGGCCUUCGGGUUGUAAAGCCCUUUUGUUGGGAAAGAAAAGCAGCAGGUUAAUACCCCGCUGUUCUGACGGUACCCAAAGAAUAAGCACCGGCUAACUUCGUG